This 770-nucleotide long non-coding RNA is filed under the name Nicotiana benthamiana. Its description in RNAcentral is "long non-coding RNA (NBEN_LNC019022)". Lineage: Eukaryota; Viridiplantae; Streptophyta; Magnoliopsida; Solanales; Solanaceae. The record is from RNAcentral.
ACACGAAAAAGUCCCCAAAUAUAAAUAUAGAGUAUUGGGUUGGGCUUCGAAGUAAAAUUCGGCCCAUUCGUUUUGCCCAAUAAAACGGCUUCACUCGUCCAUUUUAUUGAUGUUUUUGAAAGAAGAAAAAAAUGGACCUUUACACAAAUAGCCGAUUAUAUUUACUAUUUAUUUUCUCUGGUCAUAUACAUAGAUUAUAUAUUAUUUGUGUACAAUUAUACGUAUAUAAUACAUAAAUUAUGCAUAUAUAAUACAUCCACCAGUUAUUUUUUACUUUAAGUGGUUGGAUAGGAUGCUAUGCAAAUUAAUAAAGUAAGUCAUUAAAUCAUUCCAUUUUAAUUAACAUUCAUAUUUUAACUUAACGCAUCUCUAAAUGGACAUUUUAGAAAAUUUAAAUUCGAGAAUUUGCUAUAAUUAAGUUAAUUUAAAUGAACUGUUAAUUUAGGACUCUCUGUUAAUAUAGCCACAUCAUUUUUUGGAAAAAAAAAUGGCGUAAAAGAGAGAUGACUUUGUGUUAAAAAGGAUGAUUUUUGUGUUAUAAGGCUUAACUUAAAUGAUCAUCCGUGAAAUUUAUCAGCACGUCCUUUCUGUUUUGUUUUUUGCUCGGUGUCGUAUACCUGUAUCGGGAUGCGACAUGCGACAACCCAAAGGGUCUAUCACCGUAAUUCUUCCGUUUUUCGUACUUUCGAAGUCUUGAAAAUCUCGCUUUUAGUUACCUCCAUUUGCGUGUGCAGUCCGAGCGCGUAGCUGGAAAGCUUUUAUGUUGAAAU